This 449-nucleotide ribosomal RNA is filed under the name uncultured bacterium. RNAcentral's name for it is "partial 16S ribosomal RNA". It matches the Rfam family "Bacterial small subunit ribosomal RNA", at positions 29 to 523 of the family's 1533-position model. The record is from RNAcentral.
AACGAACGCUGGCGGCAGGCUUAACACAUGCAAGUCGAACGCAUCCUUCGGGGUGAGUGGCAGACGGGUGAGUAACGCGUGGGAACGUGCCCUUCAGUUCGGGAUAACCCAGGGAAACUUGGGCUAAUACCGGAUACGUGCGAGAGCAGAAAGAUUUAUCGCUGAAGGAUCGGCCCGCGUCUGAUUAGCUAGUUGGUGGGGUAAUGGCCCACCAAGGCGACGAUCAGUAGCUGGUCUGAGAGGAUGAUCAGCCACAUUGGGACUGAGACACGGCCCAAACUCCUACGGGAGGCGGCAGUGGGGAAUAUUGGACAAUGGGCGCAAGCCUGAUCCAGCCAUGCCGCGUGAGUGAUGAAGGCCUUAGGGUUGUGAAGCUCUUUCGUCCGGGACGAUAAUGACGGUACCGGAGGAAGAAGCCCCGGCUAACUUCGUGCCAGCCGCCGCCGUAA